UGGCUGUGAGGACAAAAAAAUGUUACCUGAACUACUUUGAUUAGUUUAUACGCUAUUCUGAGCCAACG
Molecule: small nucleolar RNA, 68 nt
Organism: Rhineura floridana
Lineage: Eukaryota; Metazoa; Chordata; Lepidosauria; Squamata; Rhineuridae
Product: small nucleolar RNA U54
Exons: 1
Source: RefSeq, a predicted model, not a curated record